AACUUCUGGAAACGGAUGCUAAUACCGCAUAUACCCUGAGGGGGAAAGAUUUAUCGCUUUAAGAUUGGCCCAUGGCAGAUUAGGUAGUUGGUGGGGUAAAGGCCUACCAAGCCGACGAUCUGUAGCUGGUCUGAGAGGACGAUCAGCCACAUUGGGACUGAGACACGGCCCAGACUCCUACGGGAGGCAGCAGUGAGGAAUAUUGGGCAAUGGGGGCAACCCUGACCCAGCCAUGCCGCGUGAGUGAAGAAGGUUUUCGAAUUGUAAAGCUCUUUCGGAUGUGACGAUGAUGACGGUAGCAUCUAAAGAAGCCCCGGCAAACUUCGUGCCAGCAGCCGCGGUAAUACGAAGGGGGCGAGCGUUGUUCGGAAUUACUGGGCGUAAAGGGUGUGUAGGUGGACGUGUAAGAUAGCGGUGAAAUGCCGGAGCUCAACUUCGGAAUUGCCAUUAUAACUAUGCGUCUAGAAUUAUAGAGAGGAUAGCGGAAUACCCAGUGUAGAGGUGAAAUUCGUAGAUAUUGGGUAGAACACCAGUGGCGAAGGCGGCUAUCUGGCUAUAUAUUGACACUGAGGCACGAAAGCAUGGGGAUCAAACAGGAUUAGAUACCCUGGUAGUCCAUGCCGUAAACGAUGAAUGCUGGUUGUCGGACGAAUGUUCGGUGACGAAGUUAACGCGAUAAGCAUUCCGCCUGGGG
This 694-nucleotide ribosomal RNA is filed under the name uncultured bacterium. RNAcentral's name for it is "bacterial SSU rRNA". It matches the Rfam family "Bacterial small subunit ribosomal RNA", at positions 145 to 878 of the family's 1533-position model. The record is from RNAcentral.